This 269-nucleotide ribosomal RNA is filed under the name uncultured prokaryote. RNAcentral describes it as "partial 16S ribosomal RNA". It matches the Rfam family "Bacterial small subunit ribosomal RNA", at positions 524 to 792 of the family's 1533-position model. The record is from RNAcentral.
UACGUAGGUGGCAAGCGUUAUCCGGAAUUAUUGGGCGUAAAGAGCGCGCAGGUGGUUGAUUAAGUCUGAUGUGAAAGCCCACGGCUUAACCGUGGAGGGUCAUUGGAAACUGGUCGACUUGAGUGCAGAAGAGGGAAGUGGAAUUCCAUGUGUAGCGGUGAAAUGCGUAGAGAUAUGGAGGAACACCAGUGGCGAAGGCGGCUUCCUGGUCUGUAACUGACGUUGAGGCUCGAAAGCGUGGGGAGCAAACAGGAUUAGAUACCCGCGUA